RNAcentral lists this ribosomal RNA (484 nucleotides) under uncultured bacterium. RNAcentral's name for it is "partial 16S ribosomal RNA". It matches the Rfam family "Bacterial small subunit ribosomal RNA", at positions 28 to 507 of the family's 1533-position model. The record is from RNAcentral.
AUUGAACGCUGGCGGCAUGCUUUACACAUGCAAGUCGAACGGCAGCGCGGGCUUCGGCCUGGCGGCGAGUGGCGAACGGGUGAGUAAUGCAUCGGAACGUGCCCAGUAGUGGGGGAUAGCCCGGCGAAAGCCGGAUUAAUACCGCAUACGACCUGAGGGUGAAAGCGGGGGACCGAAAGGCCUCGCGCUAUUGGAGCGGCCGAUGUCGGAUUAGCUAGUUGGUGGGGUAAAGGCUUACCAAGGCGACGAUCCGUAGCUGGUCUGAGAGGACGACCAGCCACACUGGCACUGAGCCACGGCCCAGACUCCUACGGGAGGCAGCAGUGCGGAAUUUUGGACAAUGGGGGCGACCCUGAUCCAGCCAUGCCGCGUGCGGGAAGAAGGCCUUCGGGUUGUAAACCGCUUUUGUUCGGGAAGAAAUCCUCUGGGCUAAUACCCCGGGGGGAUGACGGUACCGGAAGAAUAAGCACCGGCUAACUACGUG